Molecule: ribosomal RNA, 450 nt
Filed under: uncultured bacterium
Lineage: Bacteria
Description: bacterial SSU rRNA
Rfam family: Bacterial small subunit ribosomal RNA
Source: RNAcentral
GUGGGGAAUUUUGGACAAUGGGCGAAAGUCUGAUCCAGCCAUGCCGCGUGCAGGAUGAAGGCCUUCGGGUUGUAAACUGCUUUUGUACGGAACGAAAAGACUCCUUCUAAUAAAGGGGGUCCAUGACGGUACCGUAAGAAUAAGCACCGGCUAACUACGUGCCAGCAGCCGCGGUAAUACGUAGGGUGCAAGCGUUAAUCGGAAUUACUGGGCGUAAAGCGUGCGCAGGCGGUUAUAUAAGACAGAUGUGAAAUCCCCGGGCUCAACCUGGGAACUGCAUUUGUGACUGUAUAGCUAGAGUACGGUAGAGGGGGAUGGAAUUCCGCGUGUAGCAGUGAAAUGCGUAGAUAUGCGGAGGAACACCGAUGGCGAAGGCAAUCCCCUGGACCUGUACUGACGCUCAUGCACGAAAGCGUGGGGAGCAAACAGGAUUAGAUACCCCAGUAGUCC